This 421-nucleotide ribosomal RNA is filed under the name uncultured bacterium. Its description in RNAcentral is "bacterial SSU rRNA". It matches the Rfam family "Bacterial small subunit ribosomal RNA", at positions 355 to 774 of the family's 1533-position model. The record is from RNAcentral.
UAAGGAAUAUUGGUCAAUGGACGCAAGUCUGAACCAGCCAUGCCGCGUGAAGGAUGAAGGUCCUCUGGAUUGUAAACUUCUUUUAUCUGGGACGAAAACGGGAUUUUUAUCUCAAUUGACGGUACCAGAGGAAUAAGCACCGGCUAACUCCGUGCCAGCAGCCGCGGUAAUACGGAGGGUGCGAGCGUUAUCCGGUUUUACUGGGUUUAAAGGGUGCGUAGGUGGGCUUAUAAGUCAGUGGUGAAAUCUCCGAGCUUAACUUGGAAACUGCCGUUGAUACUAUAGGUCUUGAAUUAUCUGGAGGUAAGCGGAAUAUGUCAUGUAGCGGUGAAAUGCUUAGAUAUGACAUAGAACACCAAUUGCGAAGGCAGCUUACUACAUAUAAAUUGACGCUGAGGCACGAAAGCGUGGGGAUCAAACA